UACAGAGGCCUCGAGCGUUAGGCGGAAUCACUGGGCUUAAAGCGUGUGUAGGCGGGUCGUUAAGUGCCUUGUGAAAUCCCAUGGCUCAACCAUGGAACUGCUCGGCAUACUGGCGAUCUUGAGCCACUUAGGGGCAACUGGAACAGACGGUGGAGCGGUGAAAUGCGUAGAUAUCGUCUGGAACGCCAAUGGUGAAGACAGGUUGCUGGGAGUGCGCUGACGCUGAGACACGAAAGCCAGGGGAGCAAACGGG
Molecule: ribosomal RNA, 253 nt
Filed under: uncultured bacterium
Lineage: Bacteria
Description: partial 16S ribosomal RNA
Rfam family: Bacterial small subunit ribosomal RNA
Source: RNAcentral